Molecule: long non-coding RNA, 425 nt
Organism: Symphalangus syndactylus (siamang)
Lineage: Eukaryota; Metazoa; Chordata; Mammalia; Primates; Hylobatidae
Source: RefSeq, a predicted model, not a curated record
AAUAAAUCUCAGAACAUCUCAAACCCAAGGAGUCUGGGCUUUGCAGUAGAACUCAUCCUCAUCUUCCAACACAGAAUAAAUUUUCCUGACAUUAAUAUAGGAAUAGCAUCAACAUCAACAAAAAGGACAUCCACACAAAAACCCCAUCUGAAGGUCACCAGCAUCAAAGACCAAAGGCAGGUAAAUCCAUGAACAUGAGGGAAAACCAGUGCAAAAAGGCUGAAAACUCCAUGAUACCUGAUUUUCUUCAUGCCAUUUGUUGAAGAGAGUAUCCAUUCCCACUGUGUAUUCUUGGCAUCUGUGUCACAGAGGAGGUAUUUAUCUCCAACUAUCUGUGCUGGACUCUGGCAGGCAAGGAAGAUGCAGGCUUAUGGAUGAAUAUAAUAAAUAUGUAACCCCAAGGGUUUUCCAUCUUUUUCAAAGAA